GUGUGGUUUUAACUCCUCUUCUGGCUGGUAGCUAAGCAGAUUAUUGAUUGCUUGCCAUUCUUCUUUUGUUAGAUUUUCUUCCUCAAACUCUGUUCCCUCAGACACACCAUCCUCAGAUUCGUCAACAGUGUCCGUGCUCCUAAUAUAGUACAUAAAAUAGAUCAGAAUGAUAGAACUAAACUAAAAAUACCAAAAUAAUUGCACAUACCUCAUACGUUAAA
Molecule: long non-coding RNA, 221 nt
Filed under: Linum usitatissimum (flax)
Lineage: Eukaryota; Viridiplantae; Streptophyta; Magnoliopsida; Malpighiales; Linaceae
Description: long non-coding RNA (LUSI_LNC000286)
Source: RNAcentral